RNAcentral lists this ribosomal RNA (492 nucleotides) under uncultured bacterium. Its description in RNAcentral is "bacterial SSU rRNA". It matches the Rfam family "Bacterial small subunit ribosomal RNA", at positions 28 to 513 of the family's 1533-position model. The record is from RNAcentral.
GAUGAACGCUAGCGGCAGGCUUAAUACAUGCAAGUCGAACGGUAACAUUGGUGCUUGCACCAGAUGACGAGUGGCGCACGGGUGCGUAACGCGUAUGCAACCUACCUUUUACUAGAGUAUAGCCCAGAGAAAUUUGGAUUAAUCCUCUAUAACAUCUUUUAAUUUCAUGAUUUUAAGAUUAAAGUUUUAACGGUAAAAGAUGGGCAUGCGUCCUAUUAGUUUGUAGGUGAGGUAACGGCUCACCUAGACUACGAUAGGUAGGGGCCCUGAGAGGGGGAUCCCCCACACUGGUACUGAGACACGGACCAGACUCCUACGGGAGGCAGCAGUAAGGAAUAUUGGACAAUGGACGAAAGUCUGAUCCAGCCAUGCCGCGUGCAGGAUGACAGCCCUACGGGUUGUAAACUGCUUUUAUACUAGGAAGAAACUACUCCGACGUGUCGGAGCUUGACGGUACUGUAAGAAUAAGGAUCGGCUAACUCCGUGCCGGCG